This 301-nucleotide ribosomal RNA is filed under the name uncultured bacterium. Its description in RNAcentral is "partial 16S ribosomal RNA". It matches the Rfam family "Bacterial small subunit ribosomal RNA", at positions 509 to 807 of the family's 1533-position model. The record is from RNAcentral.
CAGCCGCCGCGGUAAAACGGAGGGUGCAAGCGUUAAUCGGAAUUACUGGGCGUAAAGCGCACGCAGGCGGUCUGACAAGUCAGAUGUGAAAUCCCCGGGCUUAACCUGGGAACUGCAUUUGAAACUGUCAGGCUGGAGUCUUGUAGAGGGGGGUGGAAUUCCAGGUGUAGCGGUGAAAUGCGUAGAGAUCUGGAGGAAUACCGGUGGCGAAGGCGGCCCCCUGGACAAAGACUGACGCUCAGGUGCGAAAGCGUGGGGAGCAAACAGGAUUAGAAACCCCAGUAGUCCCUGUCUCUUAUAC